Loxodonta africana (African savanna elephant) is the source of this 16368-nucleotide long non-coding RNA. RefSeq lists it as uncharacterized. The record is from RefSeq and is a predicted model, not a curated record. Lineage: Eukaryota; Metazoa; Chordata; Mammalia; Proboscidea; Elephantidae. The transcript is spliced from 2 exons.
CAGUUCCUGACUCAAACGCUUCAAGGAGCAUUUCAUUAUCACCCUAUGAUUCAAAAAAAAGACCAAACCCAUUGCCAUUGAGUCGAUUCUGACUCAUAGCCAUCCUAUGAUAGUAGCCUUCUUUCCCCCACCCACUGCCCAAGACUCUUUCAGUCACAUCACCCUGUUUAUUACCUCAUAGUAUUCAUUACAACGUGAAAACGUCUGUUUGCUUUGUAUUACCUCUCUCCUCCAACGAAACUAUAAGCUCUAUAGAAACAGAGACUUUAUCUGUCUCUUUUAGACUCUGCUGUAUUUCCACACCUACAAGAACUGGGAACUAUCUGUGAAAUAAAUGAAUGACAAUGACUAUGCAAAUUAGUAGGCUGAAGAGUGUUCAUGAUCUGGAAAAUGAGGUUAGUUGAAAGGGUUUUUUUGGGUCAGGGUAAGUUCAUGGUAAGGAACUAAAAGGCUGAGUUGAUGAAGAUAUAAAUAAUCCAUGAUGAACUGCAUCAUAAAAAGUUCUUGAGAAAAGUAGACUGACUUAGUAAAGUAAGCGUGACUGUAUACAUGGAGAAUGUUUAUGCAAUACUGGAAAUUUAUAUCAAAGUAUUUAAAAUUUCAUCUGUGUAACUCUGUAAAUACACUCUUUGGUUUGGUGGAGGAUAGUAGCUAUGAUGUACCUUCCAAAAGACAUCUUGCAACUCAUUACCAUUCCUUCAGCUGCUGGCUCUACAUAAGGCUCUCUACUGUAGGAUUAACUUACUUAAGGAAAGCACAGCCUGAAAUACCAAGACCAGUCAAAGUAAGUAAAAAAGACGCUAUCUAGUAAUGCCUCGUUAUAUUGUUUGAAGAUUUUUCAGCCAGCAUAUACUUACGCAGUUUUUACAAAAACAGCAAAAGAAAAUAUGCAUCAACUUGAUGGAGAAUUAUGUAAGCAUUAAAUAGGCUAUCCAUCUAAAACAGAGAGAAAUAUUUAUGACAAAACAUUUAAAUGAAAAACACACAAGAUAGCAUUAAUAUUGCAGUAUUUUGAAUCUAAAACAGAUUUUGGAAUAUGACAAUCCUGAUCUAAAUCAUAUUUAGUUACUUACAAACUUUGGAAACCCUGGUGGCGUAGUGGUUAAGUACUAUGGCUGCUAAUCAAAGGGUUAGCAGUUUGAAUCCGCUAGGUGCUCCUUGGAAACUCUAUGAGGCAGUUCUACUCUGUCCUGUAGGGUCGCUAUGAGUUGGAAUCAACUCAAUGGCACUUGGUUUGGUUUUCUUUGGUUUUACGAACUUUAUGACCUUGAUCUUACUAAGUCUCUAUUUUCUCAUUUGCAAACUAGGAAUACCAGUAGUGCUAAUUCUGUCUAACAGGAACAAUUCUUUGAUAAACUGGAAUUUUUAAAUAAUUUUUAUAGUAAAAUUAUUAUACAAAAUUUUGUUGGAAUGCCCCAUUAAACAAAUUUAUGUGAAAGUCAUUUACUCAAAAAUUCUCACCUUCUUGCAACAGAUUUCACAUUUCAGAUUUAACUUUUGCAUCUCGUCAUUGAUGUACUGGUGCAUUGACUAAUAAUUCACUGCUGUGUUGUGAAGUGCUUUAUGGAACUUGGUAACUGUAUAAUCUUCCUGGUGAAUAUACUUAAAAAUUAAGACUGAGCAAUCGAGAUAAGGCACUAAUCAUUUAGAGAUGUAACGGCAGCUUUCGUUUUAUUUCCUUGCACUGCAUUCUUAGUUCAUCAGCUUAAGCUGCUUUCCUUGAGAAGAGAGUUUAAUUAAUUGAAGUUUUGUUAGGAUUUUGAGGAUAAUUAAGAGAAGUUGAGCUAUUAAUAGAGUAUGAAAGAAUAAAUAAUAAUAAGUCACAUAAAAGAGAAAAAGAAAGCAAAAUGAGGGAAGAAUGCUCAUGAAGAGUACAGGUGAAAUGGGAUGAUGUAGUCAAAUAAUGAAUCUGCAUGUAAUUUUCACAGACAACUGUGAUUCCCAAAGAUGUGAUAUGAUAUCUAUGAGUGAUAUUUGAUAUACUUGGUAGUUUUAUUUCAAUUCUAAAUCUAUAAAGUUUAUAAAUAUUAUUGGCCCUGAGGUAAUUUGACUUACUGUUGCUAGCUCACAAAUUCCUCUCUGAAGGCUAUGAUACAACAUACAUUACCAAGCUCUCCACUUGGCCACCAUGUUGUAGUGGUGAGAGGCCAUUGAUGAUAUCACAUUUGGCUAUAAAUAUUAACUAUUUGUUCCUGCAUCAUUGGCAACACUCAUUAAGUAUUAUAAAUACCAGGAGUAGUUUUUGCUGCUUCUUUAUAAGUUUAAUGGGAGAUUUAUAUUCCUUUACCUAGUGGUACUUUUAUUUACAAUUAGUGCUGCCAAUUUGAAAAAUUGUAAUAGUAGAUCCCAAUCUAUUUCUAUCCAGAUAAUUGGGGGUGGGAGUUAAUGCGUUUCUUAGUUGUAAGGCACAGAUAAUAUCAUUUUAGUUUCCCAUGCACUUGAUGCUUUUCAUGACUAACGAAGCUCAGCCACAAGUAAAAUAUUUCAGUCAAGAGUCAUGUCUUCACAUGACCCAAUUUUCCUGGGAUUUAGGAUUAUCUCAAAUGUCAGCAUCAGCACUGGAUCUGUCAUUGUGUAAGCAAAACGAAACCUAUAGCUCUUGACCUAUUGCUUGGAUCAUUGACAUAGGGAAGCGCAGCCAUGGGAACAGAAGCAGUUGUGUCUUUCACUGGGAAAAGUGAGCUAGAGGAAUAAAGAGACUGUUAGAAGAAAAGAGCUAUUGCAUGCAAAGCACUUAGCAGAGGGUCUAGCCCAUUAUAUAGACUCAAGUAUUAAAAAAAAAAAAGUUCUAAGUUUUAAAAAGCUGGACUAAAAAAAAAAAAGGAACGCAUUUGUCAGAACAUAAUCUCUAGUUUGAGGAGGAAGAAGAGGAGAUGGUUCCCAUCACUUAAAGUAUGUUUUGGGGGUUCCUUUUUAUUUUUUUUCAGGUUAGGGGGAGAGGAAAGGCUGUGUAACUGAUAGAACAGGGUGACCAGAAGCACUCUUUCUCCCUCAGCUUUGAGGAUACUCGAAAGAGAGACUGGAAAGAACCCAUUAUGAAAACGGCCUGGUCCUUCCUGAUAACAAGUCAAAAGUACAUGAGAUGAAGUCUCACCAUCCUUGUUUCUAAGUUAUAUUCUGGCUGUACUUCUUCCAAGACAGACUCGUUUGUUUUUCUGGCAGUCCAUGGUAGUAUAUUUCGUAUUCUUCAUCAACACCAGAAUUCAAAUGCAUCAAUUCUUCUUUGGUCUUCCUUAUUCAUUGUCCAGCUUUUGCAUGCAUAUGAGGCAAUGGGAAGGGUAAUAAAUUAGAAAUUUUUACUUAAAACAAAGAAAUAUUUAACGUCUAUUUUAAGGGACAAAUAAGUGUCUUGAACCUAUUCAUUGUGUUCUCUUUCUCUAAACAUAAUCUUAAAUAUUUCCAAAAAGUAUUAAUCACAUUUUUUAUACUUUCAAAGAGAAGGAAGGAACUCCGUCAAGAGAGAGGAAAGAUAUUUGUACAAUAACGCUGAUAUGAUAAUGGGUUUUUUUUCCCCAAAGGAAAAUAAUGGAAUCUUUUCCUUGGAAUUGUUAAUGAAAGAUCUUUCAUACCCCAAAGGAUGAUAGGGGAGAAUGUCCAUUUAAAUGCCUUUUAGAGUCCUAAACCAAAAAAAAAAAAAAAAAAAACCUGAACCCAGUGCCGUCGAGUCGAUUCUGACUCAUAGCGACCCUGCAGGACAGGGUAGAACUGCCCCCACAGAGUUUCCAAGGAGCGCCUGGCGGAUUCAAACUGCUGACCCUUUGGUUAGCAGCCCUAGCACUUAACCACUAUGCCACCAGAUUUUCCUUUAGAGCCCUAGUUCAGAAUAAUUUGAGUUACUAUCACCCAAUAUUGUGUUUUACUAAUAUGAUUUCCCAGUGUGUGUGUGUGUGUGUGUUGUAGUUUCUACAACAAAAUGUAUUUAGUUGCUUUGCCACUCUUCCCUCACAGAUUUGGACAGUGAAAAAGAAAAAACUAGAUAAAAAAUCUAAGUAGAACUCAAUGGAUAUUUGCAAUCAUGUGCCCUUUUUUCAAAAUGGCUGGGACUUGUCUAUAGUGACGUUUCUUUGUCAGUUUCUCUUUUUGUAUUACCGUAACCUUUUCUCUGCUAGGAUCAGUGUACUUCACUACUGGAAUUUUUAAAAAUAUUUAUUUAAAUAUUUUGAAUUAAUAUGUGUGUUGAUUUAUUUUAACACAUGAAAGUUGAAUUAGUAUCUAUAAUUUGGGCAGAGGAAUGCAUAUUCAUUAUCAAGGGUACAUAUUUAUGAUCUUAAGGAAUCCAUUAAAGGAAAUUUUAAAAGUAAUAUUACCAUAGUGGACUCCAUGGGUGGUACAAAUGGUUGUUGUGCUUGGCUGCUAACCAAAAGUUUGACUGUUUGAGUCCACCCAGAGGCACCUUGGAAUAAAGACCUGGAGAUCAGGCAUUGAAAAUCCUAUGGAGCAAAGUUCUACUCUGACACACAUGGGUCACUAUGAGUCAGAAGUGACCCAAGGGCACCUGGUUUGCUUUGAUUUUUUGGCAUUUUGUGUUUGUUUUUAUUACCAUAGUAAAAGUAAGUAAACAAAAAUCCAGCUCUACCCUAGGGUUCUUAUUGUUUUUAGUGGUCCACAAUGAACCAAUACCAGUUUCUUUUGCAAAUAUUUUUCUGAAUACUAACAAUAAUGAAAUUGUUCCACUGGUUUCCACUUCACUAAUGGGUUCUUUGGAGCUCUGGUGGUAUAGUGGUUAAGAGUUCAGUAGCUACCCAAAAGGUUGGCAGUUCGAAUCCACCAGCCACUCCUUGGAAACCAUACGGAGCAGCUCUAUUCUGCCCUGUAGCACCACUAUAAGUCAGAAUGGACUCAUGGGCAACUGGUUUGGUUUUUUGAUUUUUUAAACCAUUCUCAUAUCACAUCAUCUCUGAACCUUUCCAUUAAGUAUCUCUCUUAAGUUGACUUCAACACAUCCUGUUUCUGUGCAGAUAGUGGGGAGAGAGGAACUUGCACGUGUAAAAAGGCAAAAAGAGAGAGCCGAGGAAAUAAAAGGCUUUCAAGAAAGUAGAAAUUGCUAUAAAAAUCCCCAGCACUUUUUUUUUAAGAAUACUGUAAACAAUCUUUGUGAAUCAUCCAAACUGACUGUUAGUUGUAAUCCAGCAAAUCAUGUGUGAUGAGAAAUUGAGCUUUUAAAUGGAAAUAAAUGACUCGUGCUUUGUCAUAUUUUCUUACUUCUCUAACAAAACCGUGGAGAUUGUUCUUUGCAUCGAUGGCAUUAUGGUUUAGAGGAAGGAGCACUAGAAUUGGAAUCUAGAUCCUAGACCUCACUUUGUCCAAUGGUGUGACCUUGGACAAUGUAAUUCACAAGGUCUUACUUACUUUCUGAAGUUGCCUAAAAUUUCUAUCAUUAGAGAUUAGGGAAUAUAAAUUAUAUAAGAAUACAUAAGUCCAAACAUAUUAUCUUGAAGGCAAAAGAAAAAACAUGCCUGCUCUGGGCCCCUUCUCCGCAGACAUCAGUUUGGGUUGCUUUAUUGGAUCAUCAUGCUUGGUAAAGCAGAGAGCCAGUGAAAAAGAGAUGGAUUGACACAGUGGCUGCAACUAUGGGCUCAAGCAAUGAUCCUGAGGAUGGCAUGGGACUGCGCAGCGUUUCAUUCUGCUGUAUAUAGGGUUGCUAUGAGUCGAAACAGACUCGACGGCAUCUACCUACCUAACAAGAUCAUCAGAUCAGGAAGACAGAAAGCUCCACUGUGAUGGAUAGAAGCAUAGAGCAGAUGAAGUUGAUUGAAGCUGAGUGUAUCAGUCAAAGGAGAAACGUAAGGGAUUGUCCUGGUGUCCUUACGCUGCCUCUCUAUUUUCCAAGGCCACAGUUGGCUGAGGGACCUUGGAGCAACAUGACUCGAGAAGAGGUUAUUGAGAGAGAGAAGGACACUUGUCUGAAAGUGUCACUAGGAAACUAGGAGAAAGCUAUUGCCCUGAUUCUUUCAAAUAAUGUUCAGGAGUGAGGAUUAUAGCUGAAAUUGCAUAGGAAGAAAAGAAGGUUAAAUAUGGAAGCCUGGAAAACAAAAUAAAUCCAAAAAUGCUAUGUUCAUACAAGUAAUACCUGUUCAUAUUGAAAAGUUAAAAAGUACAGAUAUAAAAUAAGCUCAAUAGAGAUGAACACAAACAUAAGCACUGUUGAUAUUUUAAUGCACAUCAUUCCAGGCUUUUUAUACAUAAAUCGAUACAUAAAUACAUAUUUUUUAAAAAUAGACUUAUUCAAAAGUGUUAUCAGUUUUUAGGUUUAAUAGAAAUUGCUUUGCAUUGAUGGGAGAUUUUUUUGCUUUUUAAAAAGGACUUUUAGUUUGGAAGUCCUUGUGCUAUUCAAAUGUGCACAGCUGCAGUUGUAUAAAGUCUCAGAUUCUACUCUGUGUGUGUUGUACGUGCCAGACAGAUCUUAAUUGUAUAUUUUUUAGUAAAAUUCAUACAAUUCUGGAAGGUCAUUUUGAAAGAGUCAAGAAAUCAGGAUAGCCUUUUCUUUACUAUUCUUUUAAAAUCUAUUCAUCUCAUGUUAGUGUGACCUUUAGCUUUUCACUGAACAGGACUAUUUAAAACAAAAUUAAAACUCUUUGUGGUCUAUAGGUGCGUAAUCCUUGUAAUAUACAAAGCUUCAUAAUGCUGUUUUUAUUCAUCACAUUAACUAGCUGUAAAACACGGAACUGUAUCUAUACAGACGAUCUCGUGAUUCAUAUACAGAAAACUUAUGAAGUUAUGUAAUUCGAAAAGCACUGUUUCCUUACGAAGAGAUCUCCAGUUGCUUGUAAAGCUAACUAAUUUAAAAACAUAUAAAUGUUCUUGGGAAAUGAUGGGCUUAUAUUCUACAUACUACUUUGCAUCUUACUUUUAUUCUUUUACACAUACGAACAUCUUCUCUUUUUAUAAAUUAAACUGCAUCCUUAUCAAUUUUAACACCUCGCUAGCUUCCCUACUAGAAUAUUUAGGCUGUUUCAAAUUUUUGCUACUAGUGAUAGUAUGAAAAUAACCUUGUAGGUGAGCAGCCAUACAACAUUGUGGUUAAGGGCUUGAGCUCUGGAAUCAAAUUGUUUGGAUUUUAAUCUCAGCUCUUCAAAAUAACUUCAGGCAAAUUUAGUCCAGAAGCUCUGCCAAACCUGUUCAGGAUCAUGGCAAUAAGCAAGCCUCCACUAAUGGUGGAUAGUGGUUACGUGUGAGUUACACUGGCCAGGAAUGGAACCCAGGUCUCCCGCAGGGAAGGUAAGAAUUCUACCACUGAACCACCACUGUUAAGUUCCAUAAGCUUCAGAGUAAUGAAGGGAAAGUUUUGAAGAUUACCCCUUUUAAUGGAUGAUAAGAAAAGGAUCCACCAAAGGAGACUGAGAAAAGCCAGAAGGGUGAGAGGACAAUCAAGAGAGUGUAGUAUUGAUGAAGUCAAGGAAAGAAUUUCAAAGGGGAAAAGAGUGGUUUAGUGGUUAUAGAGCUAAAGCCAGAGGAGAACAGUAUUUACUUCAUAUUCUCAUCCAAAGACCUCAGCUCUCCUGCUCUCCUGCUCUCCUCCUCUCCUGGGUCCUUCCUCUGUGUCUGAAAACGGAGACAGUUCUCCCCUGAUCUUAGCUCCCUCCUUCCUUUCAAAGAAAUGUUAUGAAAAUGGAAAGGAAAUUUAAGUGUUAUAGCAUAUAUGAAAAUGCUUUGAAAUCUGUUAAACAUAUGUACGUGAUGAAAGUCAUGUGCAAGUUCACUGGAUAACUCUGACAUGUCUUCUUAAAGGAAAAGUUAUUGCAGCAUGGUCAAAGAUAGCCAAUGGAAGCCACCACCUUAGCAGAGGCAGCUAUUAAUAAGUGAAACGUUUCACCAGACUCUUCAGACUUCCUAUAUUUCAUCACCAAUGAUUCAUUCCUUAGUCUCUGAACCUUAGUUUCUCCUCUGCCUUAAUGCCACUACAACCAAGAUUGUUCCGGGAGUUAUCACAAAAGCUCAGUCUUUAAAAAGGUAGGUACAAAAAUACAGUGACAGUAGUAUAAAAUCAAGAACAAAUUUGGAGUUGUGGCUCAGCCUCUAUGAAAAAUGUCAGGAAUACCAAAGCUUUAAAUGAGGUUAGGUUUGAGAAAAAAAAAAGAAAGAAAGAAAUUAAAACUCAGAGAUAAUUAAGACAAAAGGAAUUAGUUAGCCUUAGAGAUGCUGAUAUAAUGUUUAACAGGUUAAAAAAAAAAAAGUGAAUUACAUGACUUCUGUUUGACUUUCUCCUUUUCUAGUAAGAAAAAGGUCUUCAAUAAAAAGCUUCAACACCUGAAAAAGUAAAACAAGCACAAUUAAGAAGGAACUGAAAUCCAUUUGAUCAGUGAGCAAUGAUAAAACAAUUUUGCUUGCAGAGAACGGGAGAGAUGGAAAAGGAAUGAAUAUAGGCUUGCCUUAAUUUAAAAACCAAGAAAAAUUCUGUGGACAAGGUUGCUUCGGACCCCCAGUUGUUGUUGUUAUUUGCUGUUGAGCUAUUGUGACCUGUCAGAAGCAGAUCACCAGGCCUGUCUUCCAGGACGAGGCACCUCUGGCUGAGGGGUUUAGUAACUGGGCACUUAACCAUUUUGGCCACCCAGGGACUCCAGUAGAACUUUCUAACAGGUUCAUUACCAUUGAACAGGGUGGGAGGCUUCCUGCUGAAGCUGGCUGACUAGGCAUAUGUGGUUACCUUUCACCAAAUCUCUCAGAAAUAUCAGAAAAGUAAAAUUAAAUAAAACUAAAUCUAAAGUUUUGGGAAAUUCAGAAGAGGGCUACUAAUAAUAGUCAACCAGAAGAAUGAGGAAUUUCUGAAAUACAUUGAUGCUGAAACAACAGAGCUGAGAUACCCACAAGUUCAGACUAGUGAAAGAGAACUUCCAAACUAAAAGUUUCCCAUCAGAAUUCUGCAAAAGCCUCUCAAUCAAAAUUAGCAGAAGGUGGUUGGAAGAAGUGAGCCCUGGGUCAGGGCCAGGUAACUAAUAAAGGGAGAGCUGAUCCUGGAGCCACCUAGGGACUGAUGCAGAUGUGUGCCCCAGCCUGUCUAUACCACUCCAAACCCAUUGCCUUCAAGUUGAUUUCAAUUCAUAGCAACCCUUAGGAAAGGGUAGAACUGCCCUGUAGGGUUUCCAAGGCUAUAACCUUUACAGAAACAGAUCACCACUUCUUUCUCUCACAAAGCUGCUGGUGGAUUUGAACCACUGACCUUUUGGUUAGCAGCCGAGUGCUUAACCACUGUGCCAGUUUUUAUAUAGGAGAUUCUCAAAAGGACCAUUGAGUCCGAAGAAUCAGGUCCUUGUCACAAGAAAAGGAGGGCUGAGAAAUCCUUAAAAAAAAUCAUAUUCACAUCUUCAAGAAUAUCUCACCCUCCCUCUGCCACACACAACCACUUGAGCCAAAGCUGCGUUAAUCCAAGCUUUCCUUUCUAGCCAGGCAAACAAGAAUUCUUAUUUUCUCCAGCCACUGAUGCUGUUCAAAUAAGGCUGUUUCCUACAAAUAUGAUCAAAUAACCAAGAACCGUGGAACAACUGAGAAGGUGAAAAGGGAAGUACCAAACUCAAUAAGCAGAACUAACUAACCCCUGGGCAAACACAAAAAAAACUUUAAAAUAAGCAUAUUUAAUAUCUACAGAGAGAUUCUAGGGCACUCUGAACCUAUAAGAAGUAAAAUACAGAUGGCCACUAAAUACUUAGGAAGAUAUUUAGGAUUUUUCAAAUACAUAAAAGAAGAAGAAGGGGACGGGGAAGCAGCAAUCACAUGACCUCGUGAAGUGCAAGUCAUGCCUCAGUUACCUCAUUUCCUUUCUUGAGAGGUCAUCAGACUGGUAGAAUGGGGAAUGCCAGCAACAUGAUGUGUGUGGAUUCUAGCAAACAAUUUCAUAAAUUGUUUCAUGAUACCCUGUAAACAAAGAAAUUAUGUCCCACCAGUGAUUAAUAGUUAGAACAUCGAGCUAGUAGAAAUUUCAUAACCUAUUUUAGACAUUUCUAAUUUGUUAUUCCCCUAUAGAUUGUAAACUUCUUGAGAGAAGAAACUAUUUUCUGUAUUGCAUUCUAUUGAUUUCCUCUGCCUAGCGCAAUGUUUAGCAAAUGAUAGGUUAUCGAUUAAAAUGUAUUGAAUGAUAAUUAAAUUUAAUGGUGACUAACACAAAAUCUGUGUUUAAAAGUAUGUAUGAGAUAAAAGGAAAGUAGCUUUCUUCUCAGUACAUUUGGGAAAGACAUAGGGGUUUUAGUUGAUUGUCUGUUUAAUGCUGUCAACAUUGUGAUAUGGCAGACAAGAAAGUUGUAAAUAAAUGGCUGUGGUAAAGGACAAAUAGUGUGCAGAAACACAGAAGAGCUGUGGCAGAUUGCAUUUUCCAAAGAUGACCACAACAGUAUCUCCCACCCCACAUGCUCUCUUUACAAUGUGACUUUGACUUUUGUCAUUGCUCCCAUCGAGUGAGGAGUUCUAUGUUUGCUCCCCUUAUAAUUUUGAGUGGUUUUUUUUUUGUUUGUUUUGUUAUAAAGGUGAAUGUGCCACCACAUGACUUCAUAGGCUAGGUCAUAAACAGCAAUACAACAUCCACCUGGUUCUUUUGGGACACUCGCUCUUAAAACCUAGCCACCUUUCCUUGAAAAACCCCAAGAUGCCACAUCAACACCUCCAGGGGAGGGCUCAUUUGACAGCCAGCAUGAAGUGACAGCCAUGUGAGUGAACAAGCUAUUAGAUGAUUCCAGCCUUAGCCAUCAAUGCAGCCCUGGCCUUCAAGUCUCCCCAGCUGAGGCUCCAGUCAUUGUGGAGAAGGGACACGCCAUUCUCCUGUACUAAUUAAAAAUUCCUGACCCACAGAAUUCAUGGCCAUAACAAAUAGUUAUUUUGUGCCUUUAAGACUGAAACAUAAAUACAACAUAAAGAAAAGAAAAAUCCUCACAAAUGGACCAAUAAGCAAAAUCAUGAUAAACCGAGAAAAGAUUGAAGUUGUCAAGGAUUUCAUUUUACUCAGAUCCACAAUCAACACCCGUGGAAGUAGCAGUCAAGAAAUCAAAUCUGCUGUAAAAGACCUCCUUAAAAUGUUAAAAGGUAAAGGUGCCACUUUGAGGACUAAAGUGUGCCUGACCCGACCCAAGCCAUGGUAUUUUCAAUCACCUCAAAUGCAUGCGAGAACUGGACAAUGAAUAAGAAAGACUGAAGAAGAAUUGACACCUUCGAAUUAUGGUGUUGGCAAAGAAUAUUGAAUAUACCAUGGACUGCCAAAAGAAUGAGCAAAUCUGUUUUGGAAGAAGUACAGCCAGGAUGCUCCUUAGAAGCAAAGAUGGAGAGACUAUGUCUCACAUACUUUGACCAUGUUAUCAGGAGGGAUAUCAUGAAGAAGGACAUCAUGCUUGUAGAGGGUCAGUGAAAAAGAGGAAGGCCCUCAACGAGAUGGAUUGACACAGUGGCUACAGCCAUGGGCUCAUGCAUGACAACAAUUGGCCUAGAACCGGGCAGUGUUUCGUUCUGUUGUACGUAGGGUUGCUAUGAGUCAGAACCAACUCGAGGGCACCUAACAACAACAGGAACAACUCAUAUAGCAGUUGGGAGAACAGGGCUUGUCAGAUAUGGAUUGAGUACUGCUGUCACUCACUAUGUAAUUUUGAACAAGUCUCUGAGCCUCAGUUUUUUUCAUUUUUAAUAUGGAGAUAAAAAAUAGUACCUAACUCAUAAAGUUAAAAAAAAAAAAUGAGUUGGCACAGGACUUGGCCUAUAUUGAAUAUUUAAUCAAAGUUGUAGUUUUUACCUUACAAGUAAAGAAAGAGAUUUUAAAGAAAUAGAUGAUUUCCAACUGGACGAGGUGAUCUCUAAAAGAUCCUCCGACUCUAAAAUUCAAGGAUUCUUUGAGUAGAGAAUGUCUUUGAGCCCAGAAAAGAGGUUACAACAUUUCAUACAUUUAACCUCUGCUGUUGGAAAGCAUGUAAUAUAACUAGUGUGCUUUUCUCUAGGAUGAUGGAAGCUGCUUUCGAGUGGUUAAUUGUGCAACUCACUGAUAUUUUUUGAAAGACAUUGGCACACCAUUUUUGAGAUAGUAAAGGGAAAUACCUUCUUGAUUUAUUUCAUAGGUUAGUUUUGAUGAUUAAAUAAUUGUGCCUGAAAAGCCGCUGAAAAUUGAAAAGCUACAUAGAUGUACUAUUUCAUAAUCAGAACCUUUAAAUUCAUUGCUGCCGAGUCGAUUCCUACUCAAAGUGAUCCUAUAAGACAAAGUAGAACUGCCCCACAGGGUUUCCAAGGCUGUAAUCGUUGAGAAAGGAAAGCAGACUGCCACAUCUCUAUCCCACGAAGCUGCUGAUGGGUUCAAAGUCCCGACCUUUCAGUUAGCAGCCAAGCACUUAACCACUGCACCACCAGGGCUCCUUCAGAACCUUUAAUAGUGGCUGCGUAUGAGAAUGGAGCCCUGGUGGCACAGCAGUUAAGCGCUUCACUGCUAACCCAAAGUUGACGCUUUGAACACCAGCCGCUUGGAGAGAAAAAGAUGAGGCAGUCUGCUUCCGUAAAGAUUUACAGCCUUGGAAACCCUAUGAGGCAGUUCUACUCUGUCCUACAGGGUCACUAGGACUCAGAAUCAACUCGACAGCAAUGGGUUCUACAUGAGACUCAAAAUUUUCUCUAAGCAGUGACAUUAGCUAACUUCUUGUUAGUUGUAGGCUAGUUGACUCCAACUCAUGGUGACCUUAUGUAUAAAAAAACAAAUCAAACCAGUUGGCUGUGAAGUAGAUUCAACUCAUAGCAACCUUAUGUAUUUCAGAUUAGAACUGCACGCCAUAGAGUUUUCAAGGUUGUGACCUUUCAGGAGCAGAUAGCCAAGCCUUUCUUCUGAGGCACCUAUGGGUAGGUUGGAACCUUCAGCCUUUCAGUUAGUAGCUGAGUGUUUAACCGCUUUUGCCACCCAGGAAUUAUGUAUAACAGAAUGAAAUGUUGCCUAAUCCUGUGCCAUCUUCAUGACCGAUGACAUGUUUGGAGCUAUUGUUGCAGCUAUUGUAUAAAUAGUAGAGCUUAGUCCCUAAGAACUAUAUACCAGUAAAACCAGUUACCUAGGAGUUGAUUCCAACUAAUGGCAACCCCAUGUAUGUCAGAGUAGAACUGAGCUCCAUAGGAUUUUCAUGACUGUGAUCUUUUGGAAACAGAUUGCCAGGCCUUUCUUCCAAUGUGCCCCUGGGUGGGUUCAAACCACUAACCUUCUGUUAGUAGCCCAGUGCUUAACCAUUUACCCCACCCAGACACUCCUAAGAACUGUAUAUCCAUUACCAUCGCGUCAAUUCCAAUUCAGCAACCGUAUAGGACAGAGAGGAACUGCCGCAUAGGGUUUCCAAGGAUGACUGGUGGAUUCGAACUGCAGACUAUAUAGAAAAAAAGAAAAAAUAAAAAGCCAAAACCCGUUGCCCUCGAGUCCAUUCCAACUCAUAGCUACCCUACUGGACAGAAUAGAACUGCCCCAUAGAGUUUCUAAGGAGCGCCUGACGAAUUCAAACUGCCGAUACUUUGGUCAGCAGCAGUAGCACUUAGCCACUGCUCCACCAGGGUUUUCGCUGACUAUAUAGUAGGUUCAUAUUUAUUAGUAUAGUAGUUAAUAUCCAUUUAACUACUUCAUGAGCAUUUUUGUUUUAUUUACUUACAUAUUCCAAGCUUUUUGUCUUGCCUUUUAAAAAUGAAUAGCCACUCACAGAUAUAAUUAAGACAAGGGUCAAGACCUUUGCACACGUGAAGAUAUCCUGCAUCCUAUGGCUAUUGAAGGAGAGGAAGACCCUCAACGAGAUGAACUGACACAGUGGCUGUAACAAUGGGCUCAAGUGCAGCAAAGAUUGUGAGGCUGGCACAGGAUUGGGUAGUUUUUGGUUCCAUUGUACAUUGUACAUAGGGUUGCUUUGAGUAGGAACCAACCGGACAGCACCUAACAACAAAGAGAUUGGAAUGGUUUGUUAAGCAGCCAUCAAUAACUGUGUUCCUUGCCAGCUGGGACACCUUAGGUACCUUACUUAAGCUGUCUAUACCUUAGUUGCUACAUAAAUAAAGUGAAAAAGUAACAAUCGCUUUAUAGGGUUGUUGUGAAGAUUAAAUAAUGUAAAGCAUAAAGAAGUUCUGCACAGGGUAAUUGUUAUUAUUUUCUGUCCCUCCCUGGCCUAUAAGCUCCUCACCAUUCCCAAAAUCUGGAACACAGUAGGUGUUUAAUUAAAGUUUGAUGAAUAGUCUAUACUAAUGGGUAAAACCAAAAAACCAAACCCAGUGCUGUCGAGUCGAUUCCAACUCAUAGCGACCCUGUAGGACAGAGUAGAACUGUCCCCAUAGAGUUUCCAAGGAGCGCCUGGCGGAUUCAAACUGCCGACCCUUUGGUUAGCAGCUGUAGCACUUAACCACUACACCACCAGCGUUUCCAUACUAAUGGGUAUAUUCUUUAAUUUUCUGAAGAGCCUUUUCCUUUUCUUUAGUAAGUACUUUCUUCCUGAAAUCCUUCUCCCCUGAAAGCGGUAGGAAAGAAAUUGUACGGGGUUGGAGGAACCACUAUUCUUUUCUAGAGAUUUGAUAAUUCCCAGUUAACCACAUCUGGCUCUGAGCACAGCACUUCCCUUUCUUUCCUUCAGAACGCCCCUUGGGUCCAUGCUUUCUGGUUUGUAUUACCGGCAGUCCCGAGUUAUGAACGAAAUCUGUUCCUAAGUCUGUCUUUAAGUCAAAUUUGUAGGUAAAUUAGAACAGGUACAUACGGUUCUUAUCUAGCAUCAGUUAACCAAAUGUUUGUCUUAGUAUAUAGUAUAUAUUUUACCUUUCUAGGAGUCAGAAUCAACUCCACAGCAAUUUUUUUUUUUUUAUGCAUAAGAAACAAUUCUAAACCACACAAUGUUUUCAAGAGUCACAAAGUAUUGUGUGAGUAAGUUAUUACGAACCAUUGUAUUUAACUCAAAAUUUUAAUAUAGUAGGCUUUAUGACAGUCCAUUCUUUUUUUUUAAUUUUUAUUGUACUUUAAGUGAAAGUUCACAAAUCAAGUCAUUAUCUCUCACAAAAACCUAUACACACCUUGCUAUAUACUCCUAGCUGCUCUCCCCCUAAUGAGACAGCACACUCCUUCCCUCCACUCUCUAUUUUUGUGUCUAUUAGGCCAGCUUCUGACCCCCUCUGCCCUCUCAUCUCCCCUCCAGACAGGAGCCGCCCACACAAUCUCAUGUGUCUACUUGAUCCCAGAAGCUCGGUCUUUACCUGUAUCAUUUUCUAUCCCAUAGUCCAGUCCAAUCCCUGUCUGAAGAGGUGGCUUUGGUAAUGGUUCCAGUCUUGGGCUAACAGAAGGUCUGGAGACUAAGACCUCCAGGGUCCAUCUAGUCUCAGUCAGACCAUUAAAUCUGGUCUUUUUACAAAAAUUUGAUUUUUUUUACCCCACUGCUCUCCUGCUCCCUCAGAGGUUCUCUGCUGUGUUCCCUGUCAGGGCAGUCAUCAGUUGUAGCUGGUAACCAUCUAGUUCUUCUGGUCUCAGGCUGAUUUGGUUAGUCUCUGGUUUAUGUGGCCCUUUCUGUCUCUUGGGUUCAUAAUUACCUUGUGUCUUUGGUGUUCUUCAUUCUCCUUUGUGACAGUCCAUUCUUAAGUACGAGUUGUCUAUAAGUCAGACGUAUUCUAAGAACUGCCAUAUAUUUUCCUGAAUGUGGACUUGCCUUGCUUCCUUCUUAUGCAUCCCUCCCCUGUUCAUACCCUGUGGCCUAUUUUGGUGAUACUUGAACAAAAAAUGGUCAUAAGGGAAGGUGAGGAGACAUCUAAUUCAGCCCCAGUUUUCUAGAAUAAGACCUUCUUUAGAGGCAAAAGACCAUUAAAUGGGGAAGAGACAGUCCCUUCAAUAAAUGGUGCUGACAAAACUGGAUGUCCAUCUGUAAAAAAAAAAAAUGAAACAGGACGCAUACCUCACAUCACACACAAAAACUCAGAUUGGAUCAAAGACCUAAAUACAAAAGCUAAAACUAUAAAGAUCAUGGAGGAAAAAAUAGCAACUAUGCUAGGGGCCCUAACAUAUGGCAUAAAUAUAUAAACAUAACUAAAAAUGCACACACAGCCCAAGAUGAACUAGAUAAAUGGGACCUCCUAAAAAUUAAGCACUUAAUGCUCAACAAAAACUCCUCCAGAAGAGCUAGAAGAAAACCUACAGACUGAGAAAAAAAUUUUUUUUUGGCUACUAAAUAUCAGACAAGGGACUAAUCUCUAAAAUUUAUAGAAAACUACAUCUCAAUAAUUAAAGACAAACAAUCCAAUUAAAAAAUGGGCAAAGGAUAUGUACAGACAGUUGACCAAAGAAGAUAUUCAGGUGAGUAACAAACAUGAAGACAUGCUCACGACCAUUUUAGCUAUUAGAGGGAUGCAAAUCAAAACUUCAGUGAGAUACCAUCUCACUCCGACACUACUGGCACUAAUAAAAAAAAAAAAACAGGAAAUAACAAA